RNAcentral lists this ribosomal RNA (481 nucleotides) under uncultured bacterium. Its description in RNAcentral is "bacterial SSU rRNA". It matches the Rfam family "Bacterial small subunit ribosomal RNA", at positions 28 to 526 of the family's 1533-position model. The record is from RNAcentral.
GACGAACGCUGGCGGCGUGCUUAACACAUGCAAGUCGAGCGGUAAGGCCCUUCGGGGUACACGAGCGGCGAACGGGUGAGUAACACGUGGGUGAUCUGCCUCGUACUUCGGGAUAAGCCUGGGAAACUGGGUCUAAUACCGGAUAUGACCUUCGGCUGCAUGUCUGAGGGUGGAAAGAUUUAUCGGUACGAGAUGGGCCCGCGGCCUAUCAGCUUGUUGGUGGGGUAAUGGCCUACCAAGGCGACGACGGGUAGCCGGCCUGAGAGGGCGACCGGCCACACUGGGACUGAGACACGGCCCAGACUCCUACGGGAGGCAGCAGUGGGGAAUAUUGCACAAUGGGCGAAAGCCUGAUGCAGCGACGCCGCGUGAGGGAUGACGGCCUUCGGGUUGUAAACCUCUUUCGACAGGGACGAAGCGCAAGUGACGGUACCUGUAGAAGAAGCACCGGCCAACUACGUGCCAGCCGCCGCGGUAAGAC